UACCUGGAGGUAAAGCACUGAAUAGCCUAGCGGCCGAGAGGUUAGCGAAGCUUAUCAAACUCAGAAUGCCAGAGUAUUGAUGCUUGGGAGUCAGACAGUGUCAGAUAAAUGUCAUUGUCAAAAGGGAAACAGCCCAGAUCUACAGCUAAGGUCCCAAAGUCAGGUUAAGUGGAAAACGAUGUGAAGAUACGCAGACAACCAGGAUGUUGGCUCAGAAGCAGCCACUCAUUCAAAGAGUGCGUAAUAGCUCACUGGUCGAGCGUCUUUGCGCGGAGAAUUUAACGGGGCUAAACCUGACACCGAAGCUUAGGCAAUCCAGUAAUGGAUUGGGUAGGGGAGCGUUGUAUACGCGGAGAAACAGUAGCGUGAGCGGCUGUGGAGUGUAUAGAAGUGAGAAUGCCGGAAUGAGUAGCGCGAAUGCAGUGAGAAUCUGCAUGGCCGAAAGCCUCAGGUUUUUGGAGGAAGGUUCGUCCGCUCCAAGUUAGUCGGGAGCUAAGGUGAGGCCGGAAGGCGUAGCCGAUGCACAGACGGUAGAGAUUCCGUCACCACCAAAAGAGUUAAGCACAGGGACACAUUUGAAGUCUCAGAGCCGGGUGUUGGUUCCGGUAGAGAUCGAGGGAAGUUAGUACCGAAGUCUGGGAUGGAAGAUGGCGAGAAAAGCUGUGUGUAUUUCUGAGGUGCCCGUACCGCAAACCGACACAGGUAGGUAGGAAGAAGAUUCUAAGGCCAACGGGAGAAGGGUUGUUAAGGAACUCGGCAAAUUGACCCCGUAACUUCGGGAGAAGGGGUGCUCCAGAGAUGGAGCCGCAGAGAAUCGGCCCAAGCAACUGUUUACCAAAAACACAGGUUUGUGCUAAAUCGAAAGAUGACGUAUACGAGCUGACGCCUGCCCGGUGCUGGAAGGUUAAGAGGAGAUGUGCAAGCAUUGAAUCGAAGCCCCAGUGAACGGCGGCCGUAACUAUAACGGUCCUAAGGUAGCGAAAUUCCUUGUCAGGUAAGUUCUGACCCGCAUGAAAGGCGUAAUGAUUUGGGCACUGUCUCAACAGCCCGCCCGGCGAAAUUGUAGUACCGGUGAAGAUGCCGGUUACCCGCGACAAGACGGAAAGACCCCAUGGAGCUUUACUGUAGCCUAAUAUUGGGUUUCGAUGUUGCAUGCACAGGAUAGAUGGGACACAGGGAAACAAUCGCUUUGGCGGUUGCGGAGUGGCCGUUGGGAUACCAUCCUUGCGAUAUUGGAAUUCUAACCUGCGGCUCUGAAUCGAGUCGGGGGACAUUGUUAGGUGGGCAGUUUGACUGGGGCGGUCGCCUCCUAAAAAGUAACGGAGGCGUUCAAAGGUUCGCUCAGCUUGAACGGAAAUCAAGCAAAAGAGUGCAAACGCAGAAGCGAGCCUAACUGCGAGACUGACGGGUCGAGCAGUAACGAAAGUUGGAGUUAGUGAUCCGGUGGUAUGUGAGUGGAAAUGCCAUCGCUCAACGGAUAAAAGUUACCCUGGGGAUAACAGGCUGAUCUCCCCCAAGAGUCCACAUCGACGGGGAGGUUUGGCACCUCGAUGUCGGCUCAUCGCAUCCUGGGGCUGUAUUCGGUCCCAAGGGUUUGGCUGUUCGCCAAUUAAAGCGGUACGCGAGCUGGGUUCAGAACGUCGUGAGACAGUUCGGUCCCUAUCUGUCGUGGGCGCAGGAUAUUUGAUGGGAGCUGUCCCUAGUACGAGAGGACCGGGACGGACGUACCUCUGGCGCACCAGUUGUUCCGCCAGGAGCAUAGCUGGGCAACUACGUACGGAUCGGAUAAACGCUGAAAGCAUCUAAGCGUGAAGCCGACCCAAAGAUAAGAUGUCCCAUUGUUUUAAACAAGUAAGACCCCUUGAAGACUACAAGGUUGAUAGGCACGAUGUGUAAGUGGAGCGAUCCAUUCAGCAAGCGUGUACUAAUAGGUCGAGGGCUUGACCAC
Molecule: ribosomal RNA, 1948 nt
Filed under: human gut metagenome
Description: bacterial LSU rRNA
Rfam family: Bacterial large subunit ribosomal RNA
Source: RNAcentral